GGGACACGUGGUAUCCUGUCUGAAUAUGGGGGGACCAUCCUCCAAGGCUAAAUACUCCUGACUGACCGAUAGUGAACCAGUACCGUGAGGGAAAGGCGAAAAGAACCCCGGCGAGGGGAGUGAAAAAGAACCUGAAACCGUGUACGUACAAGCAGUGGGAGCACGCUUAGGCGUGUGACUGCGUACCUUUUGUAUAAUGGGUCAGCGACUUAUAUUCUGUAGCAAGGUUAACCGAAUAGGGGAGCCGAAGGGAAACCGAGUCUUAACUGGGCGUUAAGUUGCAGGGUAUAGACCCGAAACCCGGUGAUCUAGCCAUGGGCAGGUUGAAGGUUGGGUAACACUAACUGGAGGACCGAACCGACUAAUGUUGAAAAAUUAGCGGAUGACUUGUGGCUGGGGGUGAAAGGCCAAUCAAACCGGGAGAUAGCUGGUUCUCCCCGAAAGCUAUUUAGGUAGCGCCUCGUGAAUUCAUCUCCGGGGGUAGAGCACUGUUUCGGCAAGGGGGUCAUCCCGACUUACCAACCCGAUGCAAACUGCGAAUACCGGAGAAUGUUAUCACGGGAGACACACGGCGGGUGCUAACGUCCGUCGUGAAGAGGGAAACAACCCAGACCGCCAGCUAAGGUCCCAAAGUCAUGGUUAAGUGGGAAACGAUGUGGGAAGGCCCAGACAGCCAGGAUGUUGGCUUAGAAGCAGCCAUCAUUUAAAGAAAGCGUAAUAGCUCACUGGUCGAGUCGGCCUGCGCGGAAGAUGUAACGGGGCUAAACCAUGCACCGAAGCUGCGGCAGCGACGCUUAUGCGUUGUUGGGUAGGGGAGCGUUCUGUAAGCCUGUGAAGGUGUGCUGUGAGGCAUGCUGGAGGUAUCAGAAGUGCGAAUGCUGACAUAAGUAACGAUAAAGCGGGUGAAAAGCCCGCUCGCCGGAAGACCAAGGGUUCCUGUCCAACGUUAAUCGGGGCAGGGUGAGUCGACCCCUAAGGCGAGGCCGAAAGGCGUAGUCGAUGGGAAACAGGUUAAUAUUCCUGUACUUGGUGUUACUGCGAAGGGGGGACGGAGAAGGCUAUGUUGGCCGGGCGACGGUUGUCCCGGUUUAAGCGUGUAGGCUGGUUUUCCAGGCAAAUCCGGAAAAUCAAGGCUGAGGCGUGAUGACGAGGCACUACGGUGCUGAAG
This 1168-nucleotide ribosomal RNA is filed under the name Escherichia coli. Its description in RNAcentral is "partial 23S ribosomal RNA". It matches the Rfam family "Bacterial large subunit ribosomal RNA", at positions 419 to 1590 of the family's 2925-position model. Lineage: Bacteria; Pseudomonadati; Pseudomonadota; Gammaproteobacteria; Enterobacterales; Enterobacteriaceae. The record is from RNAcentral.